This 492-nucleotide ribosomal RNA is filed under the name uncultured bacterium. RNAcentral describes it as "partial 16S ribosomal RNA". It matches the Rfam family "Bacterial small subunit ribosomal RNA", at positions 28 to 507 of the family's 1533-position model. The record is from RNAcentral.
GAUGAACGCUAGCUACAGGCUUAACACAUGCAAGUCGAGGGGAAACGACAUCGAAAGCUUGCUUUUGAUGGGCGUCGACCGGCGCACGGGUGAGUAACGCGUAUCCAACCUGCCCACCACUUGGGGAUAACCUUGCGAAAGUAAGACUAAUACCCAAUGAUAUCCCACGAAGACAUCUGAAUGGGAUUAAAGAUUUAUCGGUGAUGGAUGGGGAUGCGUCUGAUUAGCUUGUUGGCGGGGUAACGGCCCACCAAGGCAACGAUCAGUAGGGGUUCUGAGAGGAAGGUCCCCCACAUUGGAACUGAGACACAGUCCAAACUCCUACGGGAGGCAGCAGUGAGGAAUAUAGGUCAAUGGGCGAGAGCCUGAACCAGCCAAGUAGCGUGCAGGAAGACGGCCCUAUGGGUUGUAAACUGCUUUUAUAAGGGAAUAAAGUGGGUCACGUGUGACUUUUUGCAUGUACCUUAUGAAUAAGGACCGGCUAAUUCCGUG